Molecule: ribosomal RNA, 490 nt
Filed under: Hypomyces aurantius
Lineage: Eukaryota; Fungi; Ascomycota; Sordariomycetes; Hypocreales; Hypocreaceae
Description: eukaryotic LSU rRNA
Rfam family: Eukaryotic large subunit ribosomal RNA
Source: RNAcentral
CGGCAACAGCUCAAAUUUGAAAUCUGGCCCCUAGGGCCCGAGUUGUAAUUUGCAGAGGAUGCUUUUGGCAAGGCGCCGCCCGAGUUCCCUGGAACGGGACGCCGCAGAGGGUGAGAGCCCCGUCUGGCUGGACGCCGAGCCUUUGUAAAGCUCCUUCGACGAGUCGAGUAGUUUGGGAAUGCUGCUCUAAAUGGGAGGUAUAUGUCUUCUAAAGCUAAAUAUUGGCCAGAGACCGAUAGCGCACAAGUAGAGUGAUCGAAAGAUGAAAAGCACUUUGAAAAGAGGGUUAAACAGUACGUGAAAUUGUUGAAAGGGAAGCGCUCAUGACCAGACUUGGGCUUGGCGGAUCAUCCGGCGUUCUCGCCGGUGCACUUCGCCUCGCCCAGGCCAGCAUCAGUUCGCCCCGGGGGACAAAAGCUUCGGGAAUGUGGCUCCUCCGGGAGUGUUAUAGCCCGUGGCACAAUACCCUGGGGCGGACUGAGGUUCGCGC